RNAcentral lists this ribosomal RNA (1371 nucleotides) under uncultured bacterium. Its description in RNAcentral is "bacterial SSU rRNA". It matches the Rfam family "Bacterial small subunit ribosomal RNA", at positions 28 to 1381 of the family's 1533-position model. The record is from RNAcentral.
GAUGAACGCUGGCGGCGUGCCUAAUACAUGCAAGUCGAGCGAACGGACGAGAAGCUUGCUUCUCUGAUGUUAGCGGCGGACGGGUGAGUAACACGUGGAUAACCUACCUAUAAGACUGGGAUAACUUCGGGAAACCGUAGCUAAUACCGGAUAAUAUUUUGAACCGCAUGGUUCAAAAGUGAAAGACGGUCUUGCUGUCACUUAUAGAUGGAUCCGCGCUGCAUUAGCUAGUUGGUAAGGUAACGGCUUACCAAGGCAACGAUGCAUAGCCGACCUGAGAGGGUGAUCGGCCACACUGGAACUGAGACACGGUCCAGACUCCUACGGGAGGCAGCAGUAGGGAAUCUUCCGCAAUGGGCGAAAGCCUGACGGAGCAACGCCGCGUGAGUGAUGAAGGUCUUCGGAUCGUANAACUCUGUUAUUAGGGAAGAACAUAUGUGUAAGUAACUGUGCACAUCUUGACGGUACCUAAUCAGAAAGCCACGGCUAACUACGUGCCAGCAGCCGCGGUAAUACGUAGGUGGGCAGCGUUAUCCGGAAUUAUUGGGCGUAAAGCGCGCGUAGGCGGUUUUUUAGUCUGAUGUGAAAGCCCACGGCUCAACCGUGGAGGGUCAUUGGAAACUGGAAAACUUGAGUGCAGAAGAGGAAAGUGGAAUUCCAUGUGUAGCGGUGAAAUGCGCAGAGAUAUGGAGGAACACCAGUGGCGAAGGCGACUUUCUGGUCUGUAACUGACGCUGAUGUGCGAAAGCGUGGGGAUCAAACAGGAUUAGAUACCCUGGUAGUCCACGCCGUAAACGAUGAGUGCUAAGUGUUAGGGGGUUUCCGCCCCUUAGUGCUGCAGCUAACGCAUUAAGCACUCCGCCUGGGGAGUACGACCGCAAGGUUGAAACUCAAAGGAAUUGACGGGGACCCGCACAAGCGGUGGAGCAUGUGGUUUAAUUCGAAGCAACGCGAAGAACCUUACCAAAUCUUGACAUCCUUUGACAACUCUAGAGAUAGAGCCUUCCCCUUCGGGGGACAAAGUGACAGGUGGUGCAUGGUUGUCGUCAGCUCGUGUCGUGAGAUGUUGGGUUAAGUCCCGCAACGAGCGCAACCCUUAAGCUUAGUUGCCAUCAUUAAGUUGGGCACUCUAAGUUGACUGCCGGUGACAAACCGGGGGAAGGUGGGGAUGACGUCAAAUCAUCAUGCCCCUUAUGAUUUGGGCUACACACGUGCUACAAUGGACAAUACAAAGGGCAGCGAAACCGCGAGGUCAAGCAAAUCCCAUAAAGUUGUUCUCAGUUCGGAUUGUAGUCUGCAACUCGACUACAUGAAGCUGGAAUCGCUAGUAAUCGUAGAUCAGCAUGCUACGGUGAAUACGUUCCCGGGUCU